RNAcentral lists this unclassified non-coding RNA (216 nucleotides) under Hevea brasiliensis (rubber tree). The record is from RNAcentral. Lineage: Eukaryota; Viridiplantae; Streptophyta; Magnoliopsida; Malpighiales; Euphorbiaceae.
AACCUGUGAAAAACACUUCUAAUAUUCAUAUUCAAUCAAUCUCAACUCCAAUAAUCAUCAACAAGGUCUCAAUUAUUUUUCAACAACAUUUCCAUCACUCAAACAUUCAUUUCUCAUAGCAUUCAUAUACAAUCAAUAAUAAUAAAAGAAAUUUUCAUUCAUAAACAUAAUUUUUCACUAUUUAUGUUAACAUCAAAAUACAUUACAUAAAUUUCA